UACGUAGGGGCCUAGCGUUGUCCGGAAUUAUUGGGCGUAAAGAGCUCGUAGGCGGUUCGGCAAGUCGGAUGUGAAAUCUCCACGCUUAACGUGGAGGGGCCAUUCGAAACUGCUGUGACUCGAGUCCGGUAGGGGAGUGUGGAAUUCCCGGUGUAGUGGUGGAAUGCGUAGAGAUCGGGAGGAACACCAGUGGCGAAGGCGGCGAUCUGGGGACGGUACUGACGCUGAGACGCGAAAGCGUGGGGAGCGAACAGG
Molecule: ribosomal RNA, 255 nt
Filed under: uncultured bacterium
Lineage: Bacteria
Description: partial 16S ribosomal RNA
Rfam family: Bacterial small subunit ribosomal RNA
Source: RNAcentral